GAGCAGAGUUCAGUUGAUAUUGAUUCUUUGUCAAUAAUUUUUAUUGAAUUUUAUACUAGAAUAAUUAAAUAGGUAUUAUGUAUCAUCUUUAAUAGUAUUUGUUUACGGUACUGAUUUUCCCGUUUAUUUUCCUGGUUUUUCACAUUUGUUAGGAAAACUCUUGAAAAAAUCGAAAAACGGCCCCUCUAAAGUCACUCCCCAGUUAAAUUUCCUUUUAGAAAUAUUGACACUAUUAUAAAAUGGAGCAAAAUUGCUGUUAGAAAAGUUUAAUUUUCUUCA
This is a non-coding RNA of Cinara cedri, 279 nucleotides long. NCBI's taxonomy places the organism in Eukaryota, Metazoa, Arthropoda, Insecta, Hemiptera, Aphididae. The record is from the annotation of a GenBank genome assembly.